Non-coding RNA from Petromyzon marinus (sea lamprey), 2370 nucleotides. The record is from RefSeq and is a predicted model, not a curated record. NCBI's taxonomy places the organism in Eukaryota, Metazoa, Chordata, Hyperoartia, Petromyzontiformes, Petromyzontidae.
ACUACAGCCCUGCUAGAGGCUACCUGGGGGAGCUUUGUCUGUGUCUCAGCACUUGCCCCUACAGCCCUGCUGGAGGCUACCUGGGGGAGCUUUGUCUUUGUGUUACACUUGGCGGGGAAGGGGGUGGUCCACCUUUACAGCAGAUUGCAAACUCCACCUCCCUACAGAUGUAUAAUGGACUGGUCCAAAAAUACCAUAAUCACGUUGACCCCCCCCCCUCCUACGAAUGCAAUGGUAUGGUCCACUUCUAAAGCUGAUGGGACAUUCCACCCCCCUUCCUACAGAUAUAAUGGACUGGUCCAAAAAUACCAUCACGUUGACCACCCCCCCACUAAUGUAAUGGUAUGGUCCAUCUUUAAAGCUGAUGGGAAAUUCCACCCCCCCUUUCUUACAGAUGUAAUGGAAUGGUCCAAAAAUACCAUAAUCACGUUGACCUACCCCCCCCCCCCCACUAAUGUAAUGGUAUGGUCCACUUCUAAAGCCAAUGGGAAAUUCCACCCCCUUUCCUACAGAUGUAAUGGACUGGUCCAAAAAUACCAUAAUCACGUUGACCUACCCCCCCACGAAUGUAAUGGUAUGGUCCACUUCUAAAGCUGAUGGGAAAUUCCACCCCCCUUCCUGCAGAUGUAAUGGACUGGUCCAAAAAUACCAUAAUCACGUUGACCUACCCCCCCCCCCCCCACUAAUGUAAUGGUAUGGUCCACUUCUAAAGCCAAUGGGAAAUUCCACCCCCUUUCCUACAGAUGUAAUGGAUUGGUCCAAAAAUACCAUAAUCACGUUGACCUACCCCCCCCCCCCCCACUAAUGUAAUGGUAUGGUCCACUUCUAAAGCUGAUGGGAAAUUCCACCCCCCUUCCUACAGAUGUAAUGGACUGGUCCAAAAAUACCAUAAUCACGUUGACCUACCCCCCCCCACGAAUGUAAUGGUAUGGUCCACCUAUACAGCAUAUUGGAAACUCCCCCCCACCUUACAGAUGUAAUGGACUGGUCCCAAUGUACCAUUAAAAUCAGAUUUAGACUUAAAGCUUUUCUGACUGCAGGAAAUCACAUUCAUGGUUCUUUCGGUAAAGAGAUUUGAAAAAUAAAAAAAUGAUUAUAAAAUAAAAAUAAUAAGAGUCGAUAAAAAUAAUAAAAUAAAAAUAAUAAAUUGAAAAUAAUCAAAGCAAAAACCCCACACGACGUAUCGAUCGUUAUAAUUUUAAUUUUAUUAUUUUAAAGUUUAUUUAUUUUUAUUAUUUUUGUUUUACUUAUUUUAUUACUUUUAUUGUAUAUAUAUAUUUUCGUGUUCUAUUUACGUGACUUUACCGAAAGAACCAAGAAUAUACAUUAAGAUCACGUUCACCUAUUCCACCUCGUAAUGGUAUGAUCCACCCAUACAGCAGAAGCGAAACUCCCCCCCCCCUCCCCCACAGAUGUAAUGGACUGGUCCAAAGGUACCAUUAUAAUCAGGAUCACCUAUUCCACACUCACGUAGUGGUAUAGUCCAACUGCCCAGGUUGAAGCGACUGAUACACGGUCACCCCCCGUUACCCCCCCUUCCACAACUCCGCAAUGGUAUGGACCAACUAAAGACAAAGGUCACCCUAAUAGGCUUCAACAGACGUUCAGGGCAAGUGCCAUUCUGGAGUAGCAGCAGCAGCAUUGCUUUUGAAGCCGCCUAUAGGACAUUCCCCCCUCCCCUCGGAGGUGUAAUGGAUUGUUCCAUUGUUACCAGUACAGAUUACCUCUACCCUCUCACCCCUUCAUUAAUGAUGUAAUGGUAUAGUCCAUCCAGAGCAAGCCAUGGGACCAACCCUCUCUCCCGCGCCCCUACAGGUGUAAUGGAUCAGUCCAUGUCCUUACUACCUUCACACAAUGGACUGGCCCUUGGUCAAGAACACCCCCCUACAGGUGUAAUGGACUAGGCCCAUGUCCACCAGACUUGUACACAAUGGACUGGCCCAUUGUCAAUGGUACCCCCCUGUACAGGUGUAAUGGACCAGCCCAUGUCCUUCCUACCUGUACACAAUGGACUAGGCCAUGUACAUCCUACCUUCACACAAUGGACUGGCCCAUUGUCAAUAAUACCCCCCUACAGGUGUAAUGGACUAGCCCGUGUCCACCCUCCCUGCACACAAUGGACCAAUCCACCAGACAGACAAAGCAGCCUUAUGGGGCCAACCCCCCCCCCCCACCGCUACACUCAGGAAUGGUAGAGUCCGGCGCUAGCAUUUGGUCGCUGAAUGCUUUGGACGGCGACGAACGAUGGAAGAGUCCAUUCGGCGGAGUCGGGGGGGUGUUUUUAAGGCUAUAAUCGGUCCCUUAAAAUAAGGGCGUUUGGCCUAUAAAGUAAAGCUAAUGAUGUUAAUAAAAAGUCGUUGUUCACUUUGA